UUCAAUACAAAAACAACAUUCAACAAAUACAACAUUCAACAUUCAACAUUCAAGAAAACUAACAUUCAAGAAAACUAACAUUCAACAAAAAUAACAUGGAAGACCUAUUUGGAUGGAGGAGUUUGAUAUCUUUGAUCGCUUUGACCUGCAUUAAUACUUUUAUCUUGCAACGAUUCACGAUCUGAAGAUUGUGAAGUUGUAUUUGAUUGGGAUAAAACUGUUUUCGAUCUUAAGGUCUUCAAACAUAUCAAACAUUUUAUCAUAUUUCCUUUUUAAAACUCGAUUAUCCUGUAAAAUAUUUAAGAUUCAUUUAUAUUUAUGUAUUACUUUAAAAUUUUAUUGACUGUCAUACACAUACCUCUAUUAACUUCUCCAUUUGAUC
This 382-nucleotide long non-coding RNA is filed under the name Zostera marina. RNAcentral describes it as "long non-coding RNA (ZMAR_LNC005056)". The record is from RNAcentral. Lineage: Eukaryota; Viridiplantae; Streptophyta; Magnoliopsida; Alismatales; Zosteraceae.